Molecule: ribosomal RNA, 254 nt
Filed under: uncultured bacterium
Lineage: Bacteria
Description: partial 16S ribosomal RNA
Rfam family: Bacterial small subunit ribosomal RNA
Source: RNAcentral
GACAGAGGAUGCAAGCGUUAUCCGGAAUGAUUGGGCGUAAAGCGUCUGUAGGUGGCUUUUCAAGUCCGCCGUCAAAUCCCAGGGCUCAACCCUGGACAGGCGGUGGAAACUACCAAGCUGGAGUACGGUAGGGCAGAGGGAAUUUCCGGUGGAGCGGUGAAAGUGCAUUGAGAUCGGAAAGAACACCAACGGCGAAAGCAGCUCUAGCUGGGCCGACACUGACACUGAGAGACGAAAGCUAGGGAGCAAAUGGG